CUGUUUUGUUCGGGAAUCAGUGAUGCUUUAGAUGGCAACCUCCUACUCGGGACUCUAUAUCUUAAAGAAAUUUCUCUGUCAAACCUAAAGUGUCAUCCAUGGUGUUCUGUGUAUUAUUUUAUGGAUGCAGUAGUCUUUGAAUUUCAUAUACAAUGCUAAUUGUGUUUCUUUUUCAGAACCCAAAUGCUGAUCUCAUCUUACAUUUUAAGGAUAUAGGCAGCUUAAGUUCCCUACUGUUAAUUACUAUAGAAAAAGAACAUACUGUAAGACUGCUA
Molecule: long non-coding RNA, 275 nt
Filed under: Elaeis guineensis (African oil palm)
Lineage: Eukaryota; Viridiplantae; Streptophyta; Magnoliopsida; Arecales; Arecaceae
Description: long non-coding RNA (EGUI_LNC023435)
Source: RNAcentral